Molecule: ribosomal RNA, 465 nt
Filed under: Bacillus sp. (in: firmicutes)
Lineage: Bacteria; Bacillati; Bacillota; Bacilli; Caryophanales; Bacillaceae
Description: bacterial SSU rRNA
Rfam family: Bacterial small subunit ribosomal RNA
Source: RNAcentral
UUCCUACGGGAGGCAGCAGUAGGGAAUCUUCCGCAAUGGACGAAAGUCUGACGGAGCAACGCCGCGUGAGUGAUGAAGGUUUUCGGAUCGUAAAGCUCUGUUGUUAGGGAAGAACAAGUGCCGUUCAAAUAGGGCGGCACCUUGACGGUACCUAACCAGAAAGCCACGGCUAACUACGUGCCAGCAGCCGCGGUAAUACGUAGGUGGCAAGCGUUGUCCGGAAUUAUUGGGCGUAAAGGGCUCGCAGGCGGUUUCUUAAGUCUGAUGUGAAAGCCCCCGGCUCAACCGGGGAGGGUCAUUGGAAACUGGGGAACUUGAGUGCAGAAGAGGAGAGUGGAAUUCCACGUGUAGCGGUGAAAUGCGUAGAGAUGUGGAGGAACACCAGUGGCGAAGGCGACUCUCUGGUCUGUAACUGACGCUGAGGAGCGAAAGCGUGGGGAGCGAACAGGAUUAGAUACCCUGGUA